AGUCUCUAUCUGCCUUCGGGCCUUAGCAACUCUAUUGUUUUGAGUGCGCAUGCUCAGAUGCCUGUAUUUGCAUCGCCCCAUUACCUAUUCUUCCCCACCCCCACCUGUCCUGGGGGAAUUCCAUCCCGGUUUCAUUCUUCCUGAGAGCUCGGCCAGCCUGGUUGCCAAACCUGGUGGCACAAAGGUAAAAUGGUUAUCAGGUCUAUAAUGGGGAAGGGAAGGAGAGGAAAAUGAGAAGUAGAAGGAAGAAGAAAUGGAGGAGGAGGAAGAGCUGAAGAUGAAAGAAAAAGAAGAAAAGAAAAAAGAGGAAGAGGAGGAGGAGGAAGAAGCAGAAGGAGAAGGAAAAUCAGGAAGCCUGUGGAAAACAAACUCCAACUCUAAAAGAUUGUAAAGGAAGAAUAAAUGGAAAAAAUGAAAGGAGAAGAAUUUGUGAUCAGGAAUGGAGUAUGUGGAUGAGAAGGAAAGUGGCAGGAAGAAAGCAGAUUGUAUUAAAUAAAAACCAUUAAUGUCAA
Molecule: long non-coding RNA, 512 nt
Organism: Antechinus flavipes (yellow-footed antechinus)
Lineage: Eukaryota; Metazoa; Chordata; Mammalia; Dasyuromorphia; Dasyuridae
Exons: 2
Source: RefSeq, a predicted model, not a curated record